This 1027-nucleotide long non-coding RNA is filed under the name Gossypium barbadense (sea-island cotton). RNAcentral describes it as "long non-coding RNA (GBAR_LNC006851)". Lineage: Eukaryota; Viridiplantae; Streptophyta; Magnoliopsida; Malvales; Malvaceae. The record is from RNAcentral.
CAAAACGACGUCGUACCUAGGGCCUUUAAAAGUUAAGUUUUUUUUUUGAAACUUCAUUUUCAUUCUUUCUAGCAAAAAAAAGGGCUGAAAGCCUCUCUCCCUCUCUCCUUUCUCUGCAGCGAGCCCAGAAACCGGCGAUGAGCCGAUCAUCCGCCACCGUGUUGUCCGCCAUGCCGGCCGUCGCUCCGGCCACCGUGUAAAUUUUUUCUUCUUUUUUAUUGUUUUAGAAAUAUGUUUAUUUUCCUAGUGUUUAUAUUAUAUGUUUAUCUAUAUAUGGAUAUAGAAAGCAUGGAUUCGGCCAAGAAACAGAGACGAAAAAGAAAGUAGAAAACGAGUCACCUUAGGUUAUUAGACUUUGCUUCUCGGUAUUUCUGUUAUUGAUAUUGCUGGAUCUCUUGUUUUGCUAGCGUUCUUACAAUCUAAUAUUGCUUUUCAUUCUCAAAAAAAAAAAUGCUGACCCCCCCACCUUUGGUUUUUGAUUCGGCUUUAUAGGAAAAAUGGGUGGUGGAGUAGAGGCCACUUGCAGGCAUCGGUGGUGGAGCAGAGGCCACUUGCAGGCGUCGGUGGUGGAGGGGUGGGGAGCAUGUGCUGACGGCUAGGGUUUCUUGGAGGAGUUUAGGAUAGUGGGCUAGGGUUAGGUGAGGUUUGGGCUUAGUUGGGCUGAAUUAUUUGGGUUGGUUUGUAAUUGGGUUUAGUGGGUUUUGGGUAUUGGGCCCAAAAUUGGGCUUGUACAUAGAAUAUAUAAUAAAACUAUUCAAAAAAAUCAUCCUAUUUAAAUUUUUUUUUAAAAAAAACUGCCAUUACUUUUAAAAGCUAGCUUUAAUUUAUUCUAAAAAAACUAUCAUUAAUUGAAAAAUAAAUAUAAUUUUACAUUUUCUUCACCGGUACAACAAAAGUUAGUGAAAGUUUCUAAGUCAUAAUGAGUAUUAUCAAUCUAUUGAUUUAAGAAAAUUUAUUAUCCAUCAUCUAGAAUAAAAUCGAAAUAUUUCCUCAAUCAAAAUUACCAAUCAUAUAUAGUAUUAGAAGU